This is a long non-coding RNA of Phlebotomus papatasi, 1513 nucleotides long. RefSeq lists it as uncharacterized. The record is from RefSeq and is a predicted model, not a curated record. Lineage: Eukaryota; Metazoa; Arthropoda; Insecta; Diptera; Psychodidae. The transcript has 2 exons.
UCUGGCAAUCCUAAAAUUUUGGCAACAGGAAUUGAAGGUUAUAUCAAUUGACAUAGGAAAACAAAAACAUCUUGGUGAAUAAUUUCGUGGAAAUUCCUGAUUUCUCCAAAUUUUCCCGAGUUAUUAAGUUUUUAAGUUAAUACGUGACUGGAGACACUUGCAAUAGGAAGACCACGUCAGUUCCACGUUCCGCCGUUUCUCAGCAAAACCGGUUGUCCUCGAGAAACUUCUUUGGAGACACACCACUGAAAAUUCCCCAUCCCGACAGAUUAAGGUUUAUCGGAUGAACAGGACCCCGAAUCCAGAAGGAAUCGUGUCUGCUAAGACAUCCGAACAUUGUGGGCUUCAGGAGGGCAUAUAAACGCGCCAAGAUGAGCGAAAUAUCCUUGCCCUGGAGAUAUGUGAUUCUUCUAUAGGUGAUCUUCUGGAGAAAAGAGAUUGUAGAUUAGAUAGAAUACGUGCUAUAUUGAAAGAAAUUAACAGAUCCCUUUUGGAUAUUGCAUCGGCAUAUAGGAUGAGAAUAUUCACGAGGAUAAAGUCAGAUGGUAAAGAAGAGUGUUGAAAUGUGUAAACUUAAUGAGCAUCCUGAGCAGAAGUAAGUGAUCUCUCAGCUCAAGUCUUUGAUGAGGAGUACUCUCUGAUUGGUAGUGCAAGUGAUAUCUUCAGUUACGAACUGGUGAUCUAUCUACGAAACUGGUGCUUUGUUGGUGCUUUUGCAUAUCUUCGCAAUGGAUCUCAAGAUUAGUGAAUUUGGUAUGCGAGUGGGAUAUCACCCUACUGCCGGAAACCAUUGAGCUCUCCGUGGAAUAUAAUGAUUUCGUUGGAAUUUCCUGCAUGCACUGUUGACCCUCCGCAAGAUCGCCGAACAACACAGUUUAUCCAAAAAAUGCAUUAUAUUUAGUACAUUUUUAGUUUAUUGAAUUAUUAACAAAAUUCUCCUUAAUGCACUUAUUUUCCUCCAUGCGGUUAUUUCAUCUCCAUCUCCUCCUUCCUGUGGAAUUCUGUGGUCCUGUGAAUAGUGUCGUGAUUCCAAACUUCUGCACUGUUUUGAGGAACUUGGGGGGCUCGGUAACAGUUUAAGGACUGUUUGGGUCUGGCAUUUUAUAUGAUAAAUUUGUAGAGCAACCGAUAAGUCAAGAGCUUCAUCAUCAUCUCUAUAAUCUUCGCCCUUGUCUCCUCUGUGACACCUCAUCUUCUUCAUUGCUCUCUUAGACCACUACUUCAUCUUGUCGACUAACCUCUUCAACUAUCGCAUCUUCAGUACUUGCCUCCUGCAUCAUUUCGGGAUUGGUUUGCGAAUUAUCGCAUCUUGCGGAACGAUUUUUGCAAAAGAAUCUGUGGAAGAAAUUAACAAGGAAGCGGUAUUCCAAAGGCUGAAGCGUCCUUAAUUCUCAGCCUGCCUUGGAGAAUUUCCUGAAGAGGUGUCAGCAUGAUUGCCUCAUCGGUAGUGCUGCGUUUUCUGCCUUUUGUUUGUUUUUCUCCAUUUCUGCAUAAAUAAAUGAAAUAGAAUGUU